Molecule: ribosomal RNA, 564 nt
Filed under: uncultured fungus
Lineage: Eukaryota; Fungi
Description: eukaryotic LSU rRNA
Rfam family: 5.8S ribosomal RNA (bases 208-361)
Source: RNAcentral
CGUAACAAGGUCUCCGUAGGUGAACCUGCGGAGGGAUCAUUACACAAAUAUGAAGGCGGGCUGGAACCUCUCGGGGUUACAGCCUUGCUGAAUUAUUCACCCUUGUCUUUUGCGUACUUCUUGUUUCCUUGGUGGGUUCGCCCACCACUAGGACAAACAUAAACCUUUUGUAAUUGCAAUCAGCGUCAGUAACAAAUUAAUAAUUACAACUUUCAACAACGGAUCUCUUGGUUCUGGCAUCGAUGAAGAACGCAGCGAAAUGCGAUAAGUAGUGUGAAUUGCAGAAUUCAGUGAAUCAUCGAAUCUUUGAACGCACAUUGCGCCCUUUGGUAUUCCAAAGGGCAUGCCUGUUCGAGCGUCAUUUGUACCCUCAAGCUUUGCUUGGUGUUGGGCGUCUUGUCUCUAGCUUUGCUGGAGACUCGCCUUAAGGUAAUUGGCAGCCGGCCUACUGGUUUCGGAGCGCAGCACAAGUCGCACUCUCUAUCAGCAAAGGUCUAGCAUCCAUUAAGCCUUUUUUUCAACUUUUGACCUCGGAUCAGGUAGGGAUACCCGCUGAACUUAAGC